This 253-nucleotide ribosomal RNA is filed under the name uncultured bacterium. RNAcentral describes it as "partial 16S ribosomal RNA". It matches the Rfam family "Bacterial small subunit ribosomal RNA", at positions 524 to 776 of the family's 1533-position model. The record is from RNAcentral.
UACGUAGGGCGCAAGCGUUGUCCGGAAUUAUUGGGCGUAAAGAGCUCGUAGGCGGCCAGUUGCGUCCGCUGUGAAAUCCCAGGGCUUAACCCUGGGCGUGCAGUGGAUACGGGCUGGCUGGAGGCAGGCAGGGGAGAACGGAAUUCCCGGUGUAGCGGUGAAAUGCGCAGAUAUCGGGAGGAACACCGGUGGCGAAGGCGGUUCUCUGGGCCGAUACUGACGCUGAGGAGCGAAAGCGUGGGGAGCGAACAGG